AUUGAACGCUGGCGGCAGGCCUAACACAUGCAAGUCGAGCGGAUGAAGGGAGCUUGCUCCUGGAUUCAGCGGCGGACGGGUGAGUAAUGCCUAGGAAUCUGCCUGGUAGUGGGGGAUAACGUCCGGAAACGGGCGCUAAUACCGCAUACGUCCUGAGGGAGAAAGUGGGGGAUCUUCGGACCUCACGCUAUCAGAUGAGCCUAGGUCGGAUUAGCUAGUUGGUGGGGUAAAGGCCUACCAAGGCGACGAUCCGUAACUGGUCUGAGAGGAUGAUCAGUCACACUGGAACUGAGACAAGGUCCAGACUCCUACGGGAAGCAGCAGUGGGGAAUAUUGGACCAUGGGCGAAAGCCUGAUCCAGGCAUGCCGCGUGUGUGAAGAAGGUCUUCGGAUUGUAAAGCACCUUAAGGUGGGAGGAAGGGCAGUAAGUUAAUACCUUGCUGUUUUGACGUUACCAACAGAAUAAGCACCGGCUAACUUCGUG
This 484-nucleotide ribosomal RNA is filed under the name uncultured bacterium. RNAcentral's name for it is "partial 16S ribosomal RNA". It matches the Rfam family "Bacterial small subunit ribosomal RNA", at positions 30 to 507 of the family's 1533-position model. The record is from RNAcentral.